AUACUUACCUGGCAGGGGCGAUACAAUGAUCAAGAAGGUUGUUUGCCCAGGGCGAGGCUCGGCCAUUGCACUCCGGUCGUGCUGACCCCUGCGAAUGGCGAUGGGCUGAACUGGAGUGCAAUUAGUCAUGCUCUUGAUUGGUUAAGGAAUCUACAAUGU
Molecule: small nuclear RNA, 159 nt
Gene: U1
Rfam family: U1 spliceosomal RNA
About the family: U1 is a small nuclear RNA (snRNA) component of the spliceosome (involved in pre-mRNA splicing).
Source: Ensembl